ACUUUAGCUCAGCUGGUAGAGCAAUUGUUUCGUAAACAAUAGGUCGCAGGUUCAAACCCCGUAAGUGG
This 68-nucleotide transfer RNA is filed under the name pig gut metagenome. It matches the Rfam family "tRNA". Rfam says of the family: Transfer RNA (tRNA) molecules are approximately 80 nucleotides in length. Their secondary structure includes four short double-helical elements and three loops (D, anti-codon, and T loops). The record is from RNAcentral.